UCGCGAAUGAAUCUACUACCGGAUCGGA
Molecule: small RNA, 28 nt
Filed under: Bombyx mori (domestic silkworm)
Lineage: Eukaryota; Metazoa; Arthropoda; Insecta; Lepidoptera; Bombycidae
Description: ovarian small RNA-28760
Source: RNAcentral